RNAcentral lists this ribosomal RNA (499 nucleotides) under uncultured bacterium. Its description in RNAcentral is "partial 16S ribosomal RNA". It matches the Rfam family "Bacterial small subunit ribosomal RNA", at positions 28 to 507 of the family's 1533-position model. The record is from RNAcentral.
GACGAACGCUGGCGGCGUGCUUAACACAUGCAAGUCGAACGGGCCUGUCUUCUUUUUUGGGGGUGGGUUGAGUGGCGAACGGGUGAGUAUCACGUGAGUAACCUGCCCUUCGGUCCUGGAUAACCGCUUGAAAGGGCGGCUAAUACGGGGUGGUCCGGUUGGUCCGCAUGGGCUGGUCGGGAUAGAUUCACUGUUUUUGGUGUUUCGGCGGGGGAUGGGCUCGCGGCCUAUCAGCUUGUUGGUGGGGUGAUGGCCUACCAAGGCGGUGAUGGGUAGCCGGGCGGAGGGGGUGGGCGGCCAGACUGGGACUGAGAUACGGCCCAGACUCCUGCGGGAGGCAGCAGUGGGGGGUAUUGCACGAUGGGCGGAAGCCUGAUGCAGCGACGUCGCGUGAGGGAGGGAGGCCUUCGGGUUGUGAACCUCUGUUUCCGGUGGUGAAGGCCCUGUCCGUGUGGUGGGGUUGACGGUAGCCGGGGAUGAAGCGCCGGCUAACUACGUG